RNAcentral lists this ribosomal RNA (492 nucleotides) under uncultured bacterium. RNAcentral's name for it is "partial 16S ribosomal RNA". It matches the Rfam family "Bacterial small subunit ribosomal RNA", at positions 29 to 507 of the family's 1533-position model. The record is from RNAcentral.
AGUGAACGCUGGCGGUAGGCCUAACACAUGCAAGUCGAACGGCAGCACAGUAAGAGCUUGCUCUUACGGGUGGCGAGUGGCGGCCGGGUGAGGAAUACAUCGGAAUCUACUUUUUCGUGGGGGAUAAAGUAGGGAAACUUACGCUAAUACCGCAUACGACCUACGGGUGAAAGCAGGGGAUCUUCGGACCUUGCGCGAUUGAAUGAGCCGAUGUCGGAUUAGCUAGUUGGCGGGGUAAAGGCCCACCAAGGCGACGAUCCGUAGCUGGUCUGAGAGGAUGAUCAGCCACACUGGAACUGAGACACGGUCCAGACUCCGACGGGUGGCAGCAGUGGGGAAUAGUGGACAAUGGGCGCAAGCCUGAUCCAGCCAUACCGCGUGGGUGAAGAAGGCCUUCGGGUUGUAAAGCCCUUUUGUUGGGAAAGAAAAGCAGCAGGUUAAUACCCCGCUGUUCUGACGGUACCCAAAGAAUAAGCACCGGCUAACUUCGUG